UAGGGAAUCUUCCACAAUGGACGCAAGUCUGAUGGAGCAACGCCGCGUGAGUGAAGAAGGUUUUCGGACCGUAAAGCUCUGUUGUUGGUGAAGAAGGAUAGAGGUAGUAACUGGCCUUUAUUUGACGGUAAUCAACCAGAAAGUCACGGCUAACUACGUGCCAGCAGCCGCGGUAAUACGUAGGUGGCAAGCGUUGUCCGGAUUUAUUGGGCGUAAAGCGAGCGCAGGCGGAAGAAUAAGUCUGAUGUGAAAGCCCUCGGCUUAACCGAGGAAUUGCAUCGGAAACUGUUUUCUUGAGUGCAGAAGAGGAGAGUAGAACUCCAUGUGUAGCGGUGGAAUGCGUAGAUAUAUGGAAGAAUACCAGUGGCGAAGGCGGCUCUCUGGUCUGCAACUGACGCUGAGGCUCGAAAGCAUGGGUAGCGAACAGGAUUAGAUACCCUGGUAGUCCAUGCCGUAAACGAUGAGUGCUAAGUGUUGGGAGGCUUCCGCCUCUCAGUGCUGCAGCUAACGCAUUAAGCACUCCGCCUGGGGGAGUACGACCGCAAGGUUGAAACUCUAA
Molecule: ribosomal RNA, 559 nt
Filed under: uncultured bacterium
Lineage: Bacteria
Description: partial 16S ribosomal RNA
Rfam family: Bacterial small subunit ribosomal RNA
Source: RNAcentral